AACGAACGCUGGCGGCAUGCCUAACACAUGCAAGUCGAACGAGACCUUCGGGUCUAGUGGCGCACGGGUGCGUAACGCGUGGGAACCUGCCCUUAGGUUCGGAAUAACUCCCCGAAAGGGGUGCUAAUACCGGAUAAUGUCUUCGGACCAAAGAUUUAUCGCCAUUGGAUGGGCCCGCGUUGGAUUAGCUAGUUGGUAGGGUAAAAGCCUACCAAGGCGACGAUCCAUAGCUGGUCUGAGAGGAUGAUCAGCCACACUGGGACUGAGACACGGCCCAGACUCCUACGGGAGGGAGCAGUGGGGAAUAUUGGACGAGGGGCGAAAGCCUGAUCCAGCAAUGCCGCGUGAGUGAUGAAGGCCUUAGGGUUGUAAAGCUCUUUGACCCGGGAUGAUAAUGACAGUACCGGGAGAAUAAGCACCGGCUAACUCCGUG
Molecule: ribosomal RNA, 433 nt
Filed under: uncultured bacterium
Lineage: Bacteria
Description: partial 16S ribosomal RNA
Rfam family: Bacterial small subunit ribosomal RNA
Source: RNAcentral